GCCAGGCGUGGUAAUGCAUGCCUAUAGUCCCAGACACUCGGGAGGCUGAGAAUGGAGGAUCGCUUGAGUUCAGGAGUUCUGGGCUACAGUGUGCUAUGCCAAUAGGGUGUCCACCCUAAGUUCGGCAUCAAUAUGGUGACCUCCCAGGAGCAGGGGACCACCAGAUUGCCUAAGGAGGGGUGAACUGGCUCAGCUCAGAAACAGAGCAGGUCAAAACUCCCGUGCUGAUCAGUAGUGGGAUCAGGCCUGUGAAUAGCCACUGCAUUCCAGCCUAGGCAACACAGUAAGACCCUACCUCUU
Unclassified non-coding RNA from Callithrix jacchus (white-tufted-ear marmoset), 300 nucleotides. It matches the Rfam family "Metazoan signal recognition particle RNA". Rfam says of the family: The signal recognition particle (SRP) is a universally conserved ribonucleoprotein. It is involved in the co-translational targeting of proteins to membranes. The eukaryotic SRP consists of a 300-nucleotide 7S RNA and six proteins: SRPs 72, 68, 54, 19, 14, and 9. Lineage: Eukaryota; Metazoa; Chordata; Mammalia; Primates; Cebidae. The record is from Ensembl.